UACUGAGGAUACCCUCACCUGGAUUCAGGCGCUGCCGUAUUAUCUCCAACAGCGUUUCUCAAAGAGCAUUUUUCUGGGGCUGCACACGUGACCCUCCACAACGUGGUCAUUCGUACAUCUGUGGUACAGUGUCCUUUCGUGCCAUCAUCCCAAGAUCAUGGAUCUGACCAACUACGGAAUGCCUUCACUACUGUACGGUGGUGAGGCGGAAAUCGUGCGGCUGUACACUGUUACACGGCUAGCACAGGUAAUAAGUGGUUGCCUGCUGCUUCUACUUCAUGGAUGGCCCCAAAACCUAUGACCUCCGCCAGGAAACUACACUUUCAAAAACCGCGAUUUUUGAUCUGGGUAUGGCAGACGGUGCUCUGAAGAUGGAAGAUUUCAGACUUUAAAUCUGCAGCAGUUUUCAAAGAGUAAAAAUACCGCACAGCAGGUGGAUGGUUGAAGACCAAAGACUUACGAUCAGGGAUAUGAAACUCCCUGGGGGAGACAAAAGGAAAGCGAUCUCGCUAUGUGUGAACAUCAAGGUGAAUAGAAAUUGCCAUUCUGAUUCUAUAAUAAUACUGUGGAAAGUCAGAAUAAACCAUUAGUUACAAUGCUCA
Long non-coding RNA from Tachyglossus aculeatus (Australian echidna), 602 nucleotides. RefSeq lists it as uncharacterized. Lineage: Eukaryota; Metazoa; Chordata; Mammalia; Monotremata; Tachyglossidae. The record is from RefSeq and is a predicted model, not a curated record. The transcript is spliced from 2 exons.